GAGUUUGAUCAUGGCUCAGGACGAACGCUGGCGGCGUGCUUAACACAUGCAAGUCGAACGGAAAGGCCCUUUCGGGGGUGCUCGAGUGGCGAACGGGUGAGUAACACGUGGGUGAUCUGCCCUGCACUUUGGGAUAAGCCUGGGAAACUGGGUCUAAUACCGGAUAGGACUACGCGAUGCAUGUCGUGUGGUGGAAAGCUUUUGCGGUGUGGGAUGGGCCCGCGGCCUAUCAGCUUGUUGGUGGGGUGAUGGCCUACCAAGGCGACGACGGGUAGCCGGCCUGAGAGGGUGUCCGGCCACACUGGGACUGAGAUACGGCCCAGACUCCUACGGGAGGCAGCAGUGGGGAAUAUUGCACAAUGGGCGCAAGCCUGAUGCAGCGACGCCGCGUGAGGGAUGACGGCCU
This 406-nucleotide ribosomal RNA is filed under the name uncultured Actinomycetes bacterium. RNAcentral describes it as "bacterial SSU rRNA". It matches the Rfam family "Bacterial small subunit ribosomal RNA", at positions 9 to 417 of the family's 1533-position model. The record is from RNAcentral. Lineage: Bacteria; Bacillati; Actinomycetota; Actinomycetes.